CCGAGUUUACAACUCCCAAACCCCUGUGAACAUACCUGUUUUGUUGCUUCGGCGGUGCCCUCGCUCUCGCGGCGAGGCCCGCCAGAGGACCCAAACAAACUCUUUGACUUUGAUCUAGGAUUAUACUUCUGAGUGAUACAAAAAAUAAAAUCA
RNAcentral lists this unclassified non-coding RNA (153 nucleotides) under uncultured Nectria. RNAcentral describes it as "sequence contains ITS1". RNAcentral also lists the same sequence under 1 other name. The record is from RNAcentral. Lineage: Eukaryota; Fungi; Ascomycota; Sordariomycetes; Hypocreales; Nectriaceae.